This 62-nucleotide transfer RNA is filed under the name Citrobacter freundii. Its description in RNAcentral is "tRNA-Val". It matches the Rfam family "tRNA", at positions 6 to 65 of the family's 71-position model. From Rfam's summary of the family: Transfer RNA (tRNA) molecules are approximately 80 nucleotides in length. Lineage: Bacteria; Pseudomonadati; Pseudomonadota; Gammaproteobacteria; Enterobacterales; Enterobacteriaceae. RNAcentral also lists the same sequence under 36 other names. The record is from RNAcentral.
AUUAGCUCAGCUGGGAGAGCACCUCCCUUACAAGGAGGGGGUCGGCGGUUCGAUCCCGUCAU